CUCUCCCUGCUGCGUGGCCCCGUUUGGGAGCUAAACCACACCCCUGCAUCUGACAUCAGACACGGGCUGUGUGUCUGGGAUGCCAGGCCUGGCUCCUGAGGGGUGGCAGCCUGGGUUCUUUGAAGCUAUCCGCUCGAUGGUGGCUCCUGUCCUGCGUAGUCAGUAGUUCGACUCAUAGAAGGGAUGGUCAAGAUGGGAGUCCUGUUAAAAAGAGCACAACCUCAAAAGGUCAAAAUCCAUUCUUAGUGAAGCAGCAAAGGGGGAAAAUACAUGAAACAGACUUCAAGCUCCAUUGCCAAGCACUUUAUCCAAUACUGGCAAAAAAACAGAAUGGAUUUGUACAAACACCUUUUUGCAUGCCCAGAACUGUCAUAAUGAAAUGAACUGGAAAGCUAUGGCAGACUGAAGUGCAUAAUGCACAUUUCUGGAUACAGGAAAAAUGGCCAGUAAUGUUGAUAUCCUGAACAAUGAAAGAUGCAGAGAGAUUCUCAGGCUUGGCUAACACUUUUGGGACAACUGGAGCUGCAAAAAACAAGUAACAAAUGCGGAAUCUUAGGGUCUUCUCUAUAAAGUCUCACUGGGAUUUAUGGGAGUGCUGCCAAAAAAGCAGUUUAAAGGUCUCUAGCCUUCAGUGUUUUAGAAGCCAGUGGAACUCAGAGGAUUCUGAUAAGGUGCUAGAAGAACAGUGGAUCCAGUGUGUGUGUUAAUCUGCAGCUACUCCCUGCUCUUCUGGGCCUAUAAGCAAGCCAGCACCUCGCUGAUCGGCACCCAACUUGGUUUGGAGAAGCGUGCAAGCGUCCGCUGGCUUGGGGCAUGGGGUAUGCUGUAGAGCCAGUUGCUUCUGGCACUGUGGGAAUAUUUGGCUGUUGGGCCCCCCCCCCCCACCGGCGGUCCUGCUUGUGCAUUUGGGCAAAAACUAUCUGUGGAAGCGAACAGGGCUCUCCCUGGUUCCGCAAGCUACCUCUAACAUCACCACCAUUCAUGAGUGGGUUCCUGGGGUGAUCACUGUAUGGGCCAACUCACUUCAAUGUAGAGUUUGGGGGGGGGGUUCAGAGUUUGCCAGGAGAUGAAAGGGCCAGGAAGAAAGUUAACGCUACCAUGGAAAAGCAGGGGAGGGGGCGUUUUUCCUGCAGUCGGGUAUCACAUAUUUGUUGCCUCACCUUUUUCAUCUGGAUGGGGUGCAUUUGUCCACGGCAGGGUGCAAUUUGUAUCUGGCUAACCUUUGGAGAGGGCUUGUUGCAGUCUUGGAGGGCUGUGAGGUAGGAAGGCCAAGCUAGGCUGACCUCCCUUUGUGGCAGGUACAGUGUGAGAUGGAUGGAGAUGUAUAAGGGUUUGGGAUUGGUGAACACCCUUGGACAGUUAAAAAGGGUGGAUUGGUCAAUCGGUCCUUACAGGUUUUGCAGCUCAGGGAUUUUGAUUAGCCAAAAAUUCUGCUUCAGGGCUUCAUAAACCUUCAAGGCUAAGUGGCUGGCGGGUGGGAUGAAGCCCUAGAAGUUGCCCUGAGCCUGACCCUUUGGGGUUGACAGUGAGGGGGACGAAAUGGGUUUAUCCCACUUCUAUCCUGAGUCAGGGUGUGUUGCCCAUUUUAGGCACAGGCAAGGACAGUAAUGUUCUCACCCAGCCUGUUUUGCUGAGUCUGUUUUGCACGGUUCAUUGUACCACAUUAAUGAAGUUGUGGACCUUUUUAUCCAAACCGAUUGUGUCUGUACCUUCCUUGAGACUGGGGUGUGGGGACAAUGAACAAGUCCAUAUAAAAUUACAGCAAACAUAGGAAUCAUCAUAUGGUAAAUGAUUUUUGAUGAAGCCAGUUUUGGCUGCUGAUAGUUCCUUUUUUUUCCUUUCAGAUGGCAGCAGUAAUGAUAAAAAUAAUCUCAUUUUUGACAUUCCUUUAAUUUUUAAUGUUUUGCUGGGGGGAGCAGUCUGUGUGGUCUGGAAGUAUGGUGCUUUGCUUUAACAAACAGUUUGCUUAAUAGCUGGCAAGGACAAUUUUAAUUUCUUACAUAAGUGUCUAUUGUCUGGAAGCAAUUUUCAUAUUAAUCUGACAGUCUACAUCUGUUGUCACUCGUGGCAUUAAACUGAUUUGUACGAUUCUCUGUUAUAAUUGAAUAUAUUCAGAGCAUGGGUUUUUCAUUUGCACACAGUAUUCAAGUUGAUCUUUAAUGUAAACUUUAAAAGCUCUCAUGCUUCUCAAGCUUGUAUUUAAAGUAAAUAAUGCUUAUAUAGUAAGUGAAAGUCCUAAACAUAUCUGGUUGCUUCCCAUGAGUAACACUGGACAUUACUUGAGUUGUGGCUGUGAACAAGGUCUACUCUCUGGAUUAGGAAAAUUAUUGUAAACACAAAAUAAAUGUUUUCAUGGGAA
Long non-coding RNA from Hemicordylus capensis (graceful crag lizard), 2359 nucleotides. RefSeq lists it as uncharacterized. NCBI's taxonomy places the organism in Eukaryota, Metazoa, Chordata, Lepidosauria, Squamata, Cordylidae. The transcript is spliced from 7 exons. The record is from RefSeq and is a predicted model, not a curated record.